This 834-nucleotide long non-coding RNA is filed under the name Heterocephalus glaber (naked mole-rat). RNAcentral describes it as "lncRNA (ENSHGLG00000042003.1)". The record is from RNAcentral. Lineage: Eukaryota; Metazoa; Chordata; Mammalia; Rodentia; Bathyergidae.
GCGGAGCCAGGGAGGGCGGCAGGAAGGUCAGGAGCAGGAAGUGAUUGCCUGGGUGAGGACCAACUCCGAGACACAGAGCUGAAAGUGCCCUCCAGUGCCUGGGAGGAAAUGAGGAAAUGUCCAGUCUCACACUCACUGCCAGUGUGAGAGUGAGAUCAGGAGAAAGAUUGGACUGAAGAUGUCUCUUACCGGUGAAGGUUAGGACGGCAGACACAACGCAGAGAAAGAAAUGAACUGAAACAUCUAUGCUUUGUUCUUUCCCCUGCUAAAUUCUCCAAACAGGCUGAAGAGAAACGAUUAAGCCUUUCAUGGGAGGUCCAAACAAGCUCUUUGAAUAUGUUUAAAAGAAAAAUUCUAAGAGAUGAGGAAGCCUCAUGAUGUGUAUAUGUCCACAUUUCUGCUUUCUUGUUCUUUCACUAAAUAACAGCUGGUCUCACACAGUUAGAGCUUGAGAGUCCAUGCAGUACAGUACGGCAGCCUUCCUGUCUGAUGUCUCCACAGCCAUCAAUAUGUUUCUCAUGUAUUUGUGGAAAAAUAUGCGAACCAUCUUGCCAUUAAACUAUUUUUGAAAUCUUGUGGAAGCCUGCCAGUAUUUUUCCAAGUCAGCUACAACACUCUUGCCUGUGAGAGAAGUUCCCCUACUGUAAGACUAUGUAUUUGGAUAUAGUUUUUGUUGAAAACUUUUUUGUUAAUCCUGGCCAUUGAUCUAGAGCAAAACUCAGUAAAUAAAAAAUGCAUAAAAUUCCAAUGCUUGCUAUAUAAAAUAUGUAAUCUGGGGAACAGAAAGUUAUUGGUGCCUAGCUGGUUUGGCUAUUUUGUUGUUGUUGAUGGUUU